Ictidomys tridecemlineatus (thirteen-lined ground squirrel) is the source of this 15051-nucleotide non-coding RNA. The record is from RefSeq and is a predicted model, not a curated record. NCBI's taxonomy places the organism in Eukaryota, Metazoa, Chordata, Mammalia, Rodentia, Sciuridae.
UUCAUUUUUACUUCUAUAGAUUUUUAUACUUUUUUUGUAGGUAUUCAUUCUUGAUUAUAAUUACCUUUUAUCAGUGAUUUGGUGAGGAUUUUAAAAUAUAUUUAUAUCUGGGUAGUUUACAAAGAUGGGAAAAAGUGGUGAAGUUCAUAUUUUUACAUCAUUGCAAAAUCAAUGUGAUUAUAUUCCAAAAAUUCCACAGGAGUGAGAUUGCAGGCUCAUUCUUAGUGAUUGUGUAGAAGAGAAGCUACAGAACUGCAAAGCUGCAGCAACCACAUGGGAAUAUCAGGGAAACAUCAACACCCAGGCAGAGGAUGUGGUCUGGAAAGGGGCCAGCCAGGCUGCACCACUUCUCAGGUUCAACAGCAGGGACGAGAAAGACCAAAUGGCGCCCAGGGGUCCUGCUGAAGUCAGAGGUAGAAAUCUCAGCUACAGGCUCCAGGGGACAUCCAGGAGGCCUUGAAGAGAUCCUUUCAGAUUCUUUGUGUGACUUCGCUGAACAAGGAUCUCUCCAGUGACGAUCUGACCUGAAGUCACCUCAGAAAGGUGUGUCUCUGACAUCUGAGGAAAUGGACCAGAGUCGGAAACCAGCUUGUUUCCCCCACCUCCACGUCACCUCUGAGAACUGAACCAUCAGAGUUGCUUAGUGCCUUGAUGUUGCUGAGACUGGCUUUGCGCUCAAGAUCCUCCUGCCUCAGCCUCUUGAGCCACUGGGAUUACAGAUGUGUGCCACUGUACCAGGCAACCGUGUGCUUUUAAUAUGUGGAGUUGGAUUCACUAUUUUCUUUCACAUAAAAAAGUAUAUCCCCAGAAGAGCAAAACAUCAACUAAAUGAAAAUCUCAGUUUGGCCGGGUGCUGUGGCAAACACCUGUAAUCCCAGCAGCUCCGGAGGCUGAGCUUUGCUUCCCAGAGACUGCCACCCAAAUGGAUGUGCCUUUUACUCUCUGAGAAGAUAAAUUGCAGUUGACAUCAUCAAGAGAGCACACACAGGCCUCACCAGGAGAGAGACGUAUCCUACCUUGAGCAGGAUGUACCUACCAUCCAAGUACCACUGCAACAGAGCUUCCACUGCAAGAGGAGAGAGGGGCUGGAGGGAUAAACACUGCAUUCACCCCCCCCCCAGGACACAGUUUAACUUCACAGAAACAUGAUCAACAGACAAGUAAUUAAUCAAAGCAUCGGACACGUUCCCAAUGUCAAAAAGAGUGUAACCUAUCAUCUGACUCCUGAGAAAGCAUGGAAUGAGAGAAAGCAGGGAAGUAUUGCUGGAGCUUCUCUUCUUUUCCCUUCUAUACCUGACCCAUGUGUCUUUACACCUUAAACUGUAUUCUGCAAACUUCUCUCCCUUCUUGUUUUUUCCUUCUGCCUUUCAACUCUUCCUAAAUGCCAUCUCAGGACAAAAUGUAGGCAUUUUCAUACUUUGCAAAAAAAAAAAAAAAAAAAAACCCAAAACAAAAACAAAACAAAAAAACUUCUCUCAUGUUGUCUCCAAGUCUUCCUCACUGUAUGAACUUGACCAAGUUCCUUAAUUUCACUUUUUACAUAUAAAAUGGGAAUAAUUGAAUAAAGGUUUUCUUAUAAAUGUGUUGUGAGCAUUAAGUGAGAAGAUCAACGUGAAGAAUUUAGCCUCGUUCUGAUACUUGGUAAAUGGUCAAUAAAUACUGGCUAUUGUUUGUAUCUUAGAAUCAGUAUUAAUUUCUAUCCUCAUCCCUUGAUUUGGCCAUCGAAGCCAUCAUGACAACAGCUCUCCUUCCCAUGGUUCCUGCAGCAGUGUGCACAUCCUGUGAAGUCCAGAAGCUGGAGCAGACGCCCAGAGGACAGAGCUCCGCCGUCUGGGUGGCCUUCUUCAUCUCUAGCAGAUGAACUGACUGCUCUGGAGUCCUGAGGGGAGAGAGGAGGCAGGAGUCCCUCCUUUGGCACAAAUUCUCAGGAAACUGACCACAGUUUUUACUGAGGGGUCCAAGAGGCUGAACUUCAUCACAGGUCUGUUCUGUUGUCCUUUAAGCAUAUGAUGCCACAGCCAGAAAAGUCCCCUUUACCAGCUGUAUUAUCAAAUAUCAGCUUACAUGUGUGGCUCUUCUGCAUUUCCACAUUUUCUUAGUCUAUAUCGUAGGUGAGGAAGUGAAGACUCCAAGAAGCGACCUGCCCUGCCCACCUCGCAAGUAAAAAUGGAGCUAAUACAGAAGACAGAUAUUUUAAAGUCUAUAAUGAAAAUUUUUACCCUCUGAUAUCAUGGUCUUGUCUUUUGUAUUGGUCCUGGUAGACAUAGCUCCUUUGUCACCGUUUCUUCUUUUCACCUUAUUUAUUUCCUUUUUCUUUUGGGCAGUGUUCCUUCACUUAUUGUUGACUUUGAUUAUGGAAGAUUUAGCAGUCAUCAAAGAAUGGAUUACUUAUCCUCUUUUGCCUUUUGAAUGACAGAAAGAAGUCUUCUUUAAAGACAAUAUUUUAGUGUGGAAAUAUAUAAUGUGUUCUGAAAAAGCCCAGAGAGGAUUUUGAGAUUCUGAAAUCCCUCAGACUACUUAUUUGAUACUUAUUUGAUAAUGCCCACUAAUGCACAUUUUAAAAUUGUUGAUAAGAAAUAAAUAUUGACUAAUCACGAAACGUUUCAAGAAAAACAUAUGUAUGUGGGUAAAUGUAUGCAGACGUAUAUAUCCAUAUCAUACAUUUAAAACCCAUCACAUUUGCAUACAAAAAAUACAAAUGGUUCCAUAGGAACGAUAUAAUUCUAAACUACAUCUUUCUCUUUUUGUGUUUUAAGCAAAUGUUUCCUUCUUAUUGCACUCCUGUGACUGAUUGCUUUUAUGUUUGAGAGUGCACUGCUAUGGUUUCCUGCUCAGCAUAAUAAUUUCUGUCUGUAUAUGAAAUUAUUCUGAUUGCUACCUGCAAGACUCUGUGAUUUCAAAUUGUUUGAAUUCAUGGUGCCAUUCAGAUAAUGUUCAAAAAUGCAAAUACUCACAGUAGGAAUGUCCACUAAAGUCAUUUCCCUACAUUUAUAUGGAAGCAAAAAAUAGAAGUAGAAGUAUGAUAAAAUAAAUUGAUAGAAGAGCCAAAACAGCGUGGGAGUGGCAGCUAAAAGUCAAAAUGGGAAGGUAAGAUAGUGUUCUUGAGAGUUUCCACAAAUUAAUAGUAUAACCUUGAAGGCCUCCAACUCUGAUUUUCAUGUAAAAUCAAACCGACCAAGGACCUUCUGUCAGAUUUUCAGAUUCUACUUUGGAAUAUUUUUAGAACACUCCCUAAUGUUUAUGAUUAGAGUGCCUACCUCUUGACACUCUCAGAGCCAGGCUAUUUUUAAGCAUCUGCACAGACUUUUGCUUCCUUGAGCUUCAAGACUCCUGAUUUCUGCAUGUCAAAGUCAAGCUUCCAGCUGUUUAAAUUGUAGGCAGGGGGCAGAAUUGGUCCAAUUACCAGAGGAGACAGAGCCUACGGGAGUCGGUGUAGUUAAAAAGACAGAGUGAGUGAGGAGGAGAUGGAUCAAGAAGGUAGGACCCUUGGUGUCUGUCUGCACUGAUGAGAUGAGGCACCGAACAGGGGACCCCUCUGAAGUUGAAGUGACCCGUUUUGGGAAUCAUGAAAGUAAUUCCUAAAGCAGUCAGUCUGUCCUUUUUUUGUUUUUCUAUGAAUAAAAUAGAACAGGAUCUCUCAAUGAUGGUGCUAUUGACAUUGGGGGCCAGACUAUUCAUUGUUUUCUUGAGUAUUAUAGGAUAUUUAGCAUCUGUGGCCUCUAUCCAGUAGAUGUCAGUAGUACCUCUAGUUGUCUCCAGACACUGCCAAAGGUUCCCUGGUGUCGGGUGGGGGGCAAUAUCGCUCCUGACAGAGAACAAUUGAAACAAAGUGUUGCUUGAUGCAUUUAAUCAAAGUUUUUCUAAAUCAUUGACUCCCUCAAUUUUUUUUCCUCUUGCCUUAAAAGUGAAAGUGGUAAAGUGCUCUAAUAUUUAUUACAUUUUAAAACUAUCAAAUUGUUUUUAUACAAUUAUAGAGGCCACAUUAUAAAGAUAACUAUUUUUUUCAAUGAUUCUCAUUCUCAAUAUCUUUCUCUCAAAUUUACCCCCUGCACCCUGAUUUUUCCAGAACUUCCACAGUCAGAAAAGGAGAUGCAGGUGGCUGAUGUUCCUGUAAGAUUGAAGCUGUGAUCCUGCAUUUAGGAGAAGUUAGGCUGAAUUCUAACUUGGAAAGGAGAAAAAAAGGAGGAGGUUAAUAAAAUACUGAUAUGAGCCAUUUUUGGAAAAGGCAGCCGUGUCCUCUUACGCCUGUCCUGGAGAAGAAAGAACACACAUGGAAUUAGACAUACACACUAGACUCUGCUGUGCCUAAGUGUACACUCACAAUUUUAGCAAUACAUGUAGUUAUAAAGAAUGGCCCCCAUAAGAAAUGUGAUUUGGCUGCGCAUGCCUUAAUCUCAGUGGCUUGGGAGGCUGAGACAGGAGAAUCUCAAGUUCAAAGUCAGCCUCAGCAACGAGCGAGGCGCUAAGCAACUCAGAGAGACCUCUCAAUGAAUUACAAAAUAGGGCUGGAGAAGUGUCUCAUUUGUGGAAUGAUUCUAUGUUCAACCCCUAGUACCAAAAAAAAAAAAAGAAAGAAAGAAAAAAGAAUGUGAUUUGAGGGAGAGAAGUUUCUCAAAUAUACACAAUCUUGAGAUCCCCACACCAUGAUCAAUAAUAGUCAUCCAAAGAAUCAAUGUGAAAUUGUUGAAGAACUGGAAUCCAAAAACCCUGAUUUUUAAAUUCUUCUUUAUCUUACAACAUCCUCCUUAGCCUUCUGGGUUGAUUUUAUGAUUCAUUAAGAACACUGAAUUUAAGCUCUUGAUAGCAUGCAUACUGUGCUUAGAUUUGGGGGAUAAGGUAGAUUUGAUCAUGGAAAUCUUCAAAAUGAACACCCCCACCUAACUCAUUUCAGUUUUACAUCAUGGUCUGAAGUGUCCUUUGGUUGUUGUCCUCCAUGCAUGCAUUUCCCUAGGUCCAUGAGAAAAAGAAGUGGAGCCACCAGACUUGUGUGUUCGUAUGUCCAGUGCACCAAUCCCUUUUUAAUUCCGCCUAUUAUUUCCCUUUUUAACACUAUUACUUUUGUCUUGUUCCACUAGUUGAAUCUUCCUUCCUCUGAUACCAGCAAGCGAGUUUCGCCAGAGUCUUUAGGCACCUUCUUGCUCCCUAAAUGCCUCAGACUGGUCAAUCACACCUGGUAAGCUUUUAGAAAUGUCAGAUUUUGAAGCAGGCUUGGAAAAAAGACAGCCUGUUCCUACCUCUGAAGAUUUUACGAAUUCAAUGUGUUUUAAGUAAGUCUGUUUAUCUCACUCUACCAACAUGUUCAUUUGAGUCAUCCAGAAAUUGUGGGUCUAAGGUAUGCACUUUAGAGAAUCACACUCAUAAUUUAUUGCUGGAUCAAAUCUGACUGUAAGUGAUAGAUUUCAAAGGAGAGGCUCCAGUUUCUUGUGUACUUUGGUUUUAGCAAAGAAAAUUGCCCAAAGGCUUGGACAAUACUAGUUCCCAAUAAAAACAACAACAACAAAAAUGCAGAUAUAGAGUGCAGACAAAAGAUGUAAGCAGAACAGAUUUUUACAAUAACUCUAUAUUAAAUCAUAUUCUUUAAAAACAGCUUCAUGUUGUCUAAUAGAACAUAGUUUCUCCCUCAAAUUAUAUAUAUAUAUAUAUAAAAGUACAGGGCUUUUCCUAAGAACCUUUAUUUCAAAAGACAAAGGUUUUGAAAUAUGUUAUCCCUUUUUAACCUUCAAAAUUUGAAGGUCAGUGUGUAAUUGCUCUCUGACUCGAGAUUGAGACAAUACAAACUCAGGAAACAGAACACUAUGUGCUUGAAAUUGUGAUUCAAGUACUCACAAAGUUCAGAACUCCUUUUGAGAUGUUCAAGGUCUUCCAUCACUGGGACCAGAAGGUGAAGGCAAGAAGAAUCAACAGACUUAAAUUUUUUUUUUUUUUUUUUUAGCCAAGUACAUUUGUACCAGGCUGUGCUACACAAUUUUCCCAGGCCUGCGUAAAAUGAACACACAGGACCCCUCGUUCAAAAAUUAUUGAGAAUUUGGGGACAGUAACAGCAGUUCAUAAAACCAAGGGAAGGCUCUUUAAGGAAAAGAGAGACAUUUUUUCCUACUUAUUGAGUCCCUCCUGGUUCUUGUUGACUCUGUGAAUGUCUUUAGUUGGUCAAAACAGGCUAGGGUUCAUCUUGUAUUAACAAGAAAACAUAAAGUUUGAAUGCAACCAUAAACCAGCUACAUGCUUUUAACACAAACUGUAUUGCAACAAAUUUAGAUAUCAUUAAUUGUAAGAAACACCGUUGUUUCAUGUACCAUUAAGAAUGAAAAUGUGCUUCCAAUUAAAGAUGAUAUAUCAUCCAUUCCAAGCUAAUUUGCAAAUCCAGAGGUAUUAAAAUGUGAAAAAUUGUUAAAGAUCUUAGUAUUGAUGGGAUUGUGGAUCUUAAUCGGGAGGUCUUACAAUGCUAUGAGCUGGCUGGUUUUAUCUCCAUAUACAUAAUUUCAUAAAGGCUCUUUUGUUAAUGGAAACGAGGCCCUGAGCAUUAAGAUUAUUUCCCUCACUGGGGUAGAGUGGAGGGAUUUGAAUCCAGGAGCCCUGUCAUUGUACUUAGUUCUCUUCCUACACCUGGGCUGCCUUCUCCCUUCAGCACGGUCUUUCCCUGGCACAGAAGAUCAACCCUAAAGCAGGAGAAAAUGACGGAAAACUAGAAGAGAAAGGGAAAUGUGCCUAAAAAUGUGAAUGUUUUCUUUUACAGCUUUUCAAUAUAUUGAUAGACAUGUAAUUGAAAAUGUAAUUUUAAAAUGACAUUUGAAAAGCAAUAUUUUUUUUCAUGUGAAGUUUAAUCAAUUUAUACCUCCUUUUUAAUUAGUUUCAAGCUGUUGGUGGAUAAUAUAUAUAUGUAUAUAUAUGACACAUAUAUAAAUUCAAGCUGUUGAUUAUGUACGAAUAUACACAGGCAUUUUAUAUUUGAGUGGUAUAGUUAUUUCUGUGCAAUAAACACCAUAAAAGUUUAAUAUAGACCUAUACAUAAAGUUUCUCAUUAAGAUGAAAGGCAAUUCAGGAAAGAAGAUGCAGGGUCAACUAGAUUAGGUGAGUGUUGUCAUGCCUGCCUUUAAAGUCUCGAAUGUGAGCAAUUUGGAUUGCAAAAUAAUUUUUCUGAGAUAUACACCAGAACUAUUUCUUCCCAUUUACAUCCACCUGAACAACACACACACACACACACACACACACACACACACACACACACACACACAUACAAAAUGCACAUAUUGUUUUCCAAAGCCUCUUUUUCAAUCUUAUAAUCUCAUAAUUGAAGUUCAUUGUGUGAUUGAAAACGAAAAAAUAAAAUAAAAUAAAAUAAACCAUUAAGAUUUGCACUUAAGUUGCUCUCUUUAAGAGAUGGGCUAUUAUUUCAAAGAAUCAAAUCUCCAGGUCAGCCUUUGUCUUUCAGCACAGCUCCAUCCUGCUCUGGGAGCUGAAGGGUCGGGGCUGGGUGAGGAUAUGGAGCUGUGGGAACUGGUUUCCACACACUGGAUGCUAUGCAUAGAAAGAAGGGCGGCCACUCAGUCGGGGCAGCAAGCCAGGUGGCCAGAUGCUUCUGGAAUUCAGGGGAACAAUGGCAAGUAGGCAUUGUGGUUUGUGUCUGCAUGCCAGUGACCAGAGCUCAGAUACUCAAUCCAGGGUACCAGUGCCAAAUGAAAGCCAAUAUUAAAGUUGAUCCUUUGAAAGAGGAGGGGUAAGAGGAACAGGGAUUCAGAGCAAAGCUGUUGUCACUGUGGAAUUUAAGUCUCAAAAAAAAAAACCAUGGACAAAUUCAAGUUCCAUUAUUCUGGAGAUAUUCUUCAGCCUGAAAGCCACAAGUGGUGGAAAUUUGCAAAAAGUUCAAGACAGCAGUAAACUUAAUCAGAUUUAGGUGGGAGAAAUUAAGUGUAAAUUGUGUUAGAAAAUGAACUUUAGUUCUUGAGCUUCCUCUCGUUCUCUUUUUCUUUUUGCUUUUCUUUCUCUUAGUAGAAGAAGAAAAAAAAAGGAUAUCCAUUCUAUUAUUCCUUAAUUUUCAUCUAGCAGCUCAUUAUCUCAAUCAGCACAUCACAGUUGAGUGCAUUGAUUUCUGAGGAAAAUUCCAGCAGGUUCCUGAGGCUGUUGAUGAGCUGUGGUUAAUCGCCACAGUUAGAAUUUUCUGUCAUUACUCAAAAUGGAUUAUAUGUGUUUGAUUGGCAGGAAGGUUAAAGGAAGAUACGGCAUACAGAAGUGAUGUGAUCAUAUUCUUUCGGGGCUCCUGGGGAUCUGGGAUGGGAGGCAGGAAGUCAGGGAUUGUGAAACAGUAACCACCCCAAAUCAAUUAAAGAGCAGUUCUUAUCUGAGCCAAAUGGGAUCCUGGAAUAUUAGUGUGCAUUGAAGGAGAGGACGAGGAUGCCCAGCGCUUUGGAAAAGAGCAUCUUCAGGUGAGAAAGGAGGAUGUAUCUGGUCUACAAAGGCAAGGAUCCCUCAGGGAAUAUGAAAGUCAGACAUCAUUGGCAGUGCUCAGUGGUGAUUUUGGAAAGUGGGAACACAGGGCAGACUCCCUGUGCUGAGACCCAGCUAGAGAAGAUGACUGAGAGUUUGAAUCACUGCUUACCUCUAGCUUGGUACUCUGCACUUAAUCUCUCUCUGCUUUCAGCCUCCCCAUCUGUGAAAUGAAAAGAAAUAGAAACUAAUUUACCUCCUAGGGUAUCUUUAUAGCAUAAUGGAUAAAAAGGUUUGGAAGGGACAAAUGGAGUAAUCUGAGGACAUUCUGGGCCAGAGUUAAGCUCAGUUAGAUGGAGAAUUAAAGUAUAUGAGGCCUGAAAUGAAAGAAUGCAAAUCCCCAAGUUGUAAUGCUCCACCCCCUGAAGAAGGGAAGAGAAUAUAAGAAAGCGAAUAAACUGAGAACCGAAAGAAGAGCCAAGGGCAAGGUAGGCCUUGAAAGUAUGAUAUGGUCUAAGGGUGAGUAUGAAAAAAAAAUCUCUCUAGAUCAAGGUCAGUGUGCUCUGAGGCCUUCAGGGGCAGCAGUAGGUUACCAACUAGAAAAGAAAUGUGUGUUUCUCUGCCUUUGGAAGGAAGGUGACACUAACUGAAGGGGAAAAGAGAAGUGAAAAUAAGGGUAAAGAAAUAGAAUAUAUAGAAUAUAUGCAAAUUCCAUUUAAAAAAAAAACUGCCUUGUGAGAGUGAAAAAAACAAAAACACAAAAGCUAAACUAAACCAAAAAGAAUGCACCCCCUCCCCACUCCCCAACCAAAUAGAUUGUUUGCAUUAUUACACAGUUAAGCUAAAAUGGUUAGCUGGUGGCUUCUUGCAGACACUAUCUUAAUUAGCAGUUUUUAACUUGGUCUUAGAAUACAUAGGCUGAGAUUCUGGGGAGGACCAAGUAAAACACAAUGAGUCAUGGAUCAGAACCAUCCAACUCGCCUGCAAAGGAGAUGCUCUCUCAAGGCUGCCAAAGCCUUUGGCGUAGAGGCCUGAUGUUAUAUUCGGGAGUCAGCAGGGUGGGUGGGGGAGCAGACGCCUCCCCUGUUCUUGCCGCUGUCUGGUGGAGUUGGCAGUGUUCUUCGGAUUCUAAACGAAGGAAAGGAACUGAUACUGCCUUCCUCUGCCUCUGAUAGUACCUUAAUUCCCCCAUGCUGAGCCAUGGCCCAGGGGAGCAAAGCGUAAUAAAUUACCGAUUUGGAAACUAUGCAAGAUCAAACCUUAUUUUCAAGGCAAUAGGAAUGAAAAAUAUGCUUUCAGAAUCGAGGACGACGGAUGCAGGCGUUCUCUGCAUUUCAGCAUAUGAUUAGAGCUAGUCAAGGCAAAGGCAAAUGGAACCCAAGUCACUGGCACCAUCUAUCAGGAAAUGCCACCACCAUCUUCUGUGGAGUUUUCAAAACUAGUGCUUCUCACUCAGCCACACAGGAGGAAUUUGUGGCUUCUAGGGAGGCAUCAGGCUUGUGGGAACCACACAUACAUGGCUUAUUGAAUAUUCUUAUUUGAAACCCAAGUGGAAAGACACAGCAGGAAGUAAAAUAGCCCUUGCCCCCACCUCCUGCCACCUUGCCUUUCUACACUGAUAAUUCCACCUUCCCAAGUUGGCACAGCAGGGAGGCACAUCCGGUGCAGAUGGGCAGAUACUCCAACAUCUUUGUCUGCUCCACACAUUUUCCUUCUUGGAGCCCUUUUCAGAAAGAAGAAAAACUUUCUUAGCAAUCAGGCCUUGGAUGAGGAGAAUCAGAAAUGGAAAGCUAUCCCUGCUCCUUUACAAUCUCAUCUCAGCUGAAAGGGAAAGGAAGUGGGGGGAGCUGGAUAGGUGGAGGCUCCUGGAGGGAGCCCCCGUCUAGCCUGGCAGUGCUCCCCUUUCAUCCUCCCCAGUGGAGGCAUCACCCUUCCAUCAAGAACUCAGACAGAGAGCCCUGGAAAAGUGGUUUUUGGACACAUCUUCCUACCUGUCACCAAAGGCUCAUCUCUUCCAUGACAUAUGGAUAUUUUAAGACCUGCAAGUAAAUAUGCUAGGCAAUAAAAGGACCGUUUGUAAGCUCAGAGUGGCAAGUGGAAAAUUCUGGGGGAUUUUCAAAGCCCUUACAUUGAAGGAGAUGGGAACAUACAAUCAAUCUUUCUUCGUUUGAGAAAGAAAGAACCAAUACCAUUUUCUGGGAAAAUGGCGCUCACUUCCCAAUUGGCUACAUCCUAUAUGCCCCCGCUGCCCGGACCAGCCACCUUCUUUUUCUGUGAAAUAUAUGUGCAUACAGGUUUCCCUGGAAGUGAGCCCUAAGAUUGAAUUUGAUGUUGCUUAUUUGAAAUGAUUUAAGAUAACUAUAUUUUUUUUGUGAACUUUGAAUGCUUCAAUUGGGAAAAACCGUUCAUAUACAGAUAUAGGCACAGUUAAUGGCAUUCUUGACUUCAAAAAACAAGUCUUCCUUCAGUCGAGGCCCCUGAAAAUGGCAUUUGUAAAUGAUGAAUUUGUGUAUAAAGGAACAAUUUCCUGUAAAUCAAUGUACCUUACUUUAGAUUUCAGUUUAAUAUCAAAAAGCCCCUCUCCCUGGAAAACAAACAGCAUACAAAUUUUCUCUGAUCUUCCUAGCAAAAGGCCAUAUGUUAUUUGGGGUGAUUUGUCUAGGCUUUCAUUCCUUUUUCAUCGGAAACCUGUAUUUCACAAUAUUGUUCCAAUUACACUAAUACAGCCGAAUAAAUCUGGAAUAUCUGUGUUGAUAAUAAAUGGAUACAGACUGAUUCUUUGGGCAUUUUCUUUAUAGGAGGCAUUCUAAUUGACAGAUGCUUUUAAUGAUGACAUUGCCAUAAAAUGGCUUGGUUUUUCCAGUUUCAGACCUUCUCAGAGCUAUUUCAGCUAUUAGAAGAAGAAAAAUAAACAAGGGCUGCUUACCAUGACUGAGGACAAACACGAUGGAACCAAUCUACAGAAAAUCCUCUUUCAAGCAGCAAGUUGCAGCAGUCUCCCUUUUUAGGCGUAUUAAACUAGCAGGUUUUGGAUCGCUUUGAGAGAGUAUUUGUAAAAUUGUUGUAUGAGUCUGUUCAUCGUUUUACAAAGAAUACGGGCAAAAACAUUUUCUUACCUAAUGGCUUUUUGUGCUUUCAGAAAUCAAAUUCCUGACUCCAUAAAAUUUAGGCAUUAGGGAGGAACAUUGUCGUUUCCUGCCUCUUGGGAAUAUCUGAACCAAUUCAGAGGAGAAUGGAAUGCACCAAAGAGACCAUUUUGACUUCGGAGCACUUAAUUACAUCCGAGGAGCUGCAGGUUUUUUUUUAUUUUUUUCAAAGUUCCCAGAGGGGUGGAGAGCAGUAAGGAUAUUGGAAUCAGUACAUGGAGUGCUCACUAAGUGCAGAUGACUUAGCACAGAGGUGCUUUCCAUUUGUUAGCAGAGAACAGGACAAGGUCAGCCAAGAAGUGCAACGGCUAGUCCUCAAGUCCACGCUUUCACCUGGCAUGGUGGUGAUUUCCCGGGAAUUUUAUAUAGAAAAAAACACCUCUCUCUUCUAAAGAACAUAAAUAGGACGGCAGCUCAGACUAGGAUUCUGAAACUCAUUUCUUUAAUAUCUUCUUCUUGCCAAAAGGUCUUAUUCCAUGACUAUUUAUGUGACACUUGGCAAGUUGUUUUAUUUGGUUCUCAUUUUGCCUCCAAUAAAGUGAUGAUCAUAUUUUUUUGCCCUAAAUAAUCUCAAGAGGGUCUUAGAAGCAUAACUACAAUCAUUUAUAUAAAUUAGUUUUUCUUCUUGUGUUAAAAUAAAUAAAUAUAAAAUACUUUAUAUGAUUCUUAUUUUUAUUUUCAGUAAUGAGCCCCAAGACAGCCAUACGUAGUAUUGUUUAUAGAGCAUUUUUAUAUGCUUUAUACUAACAUUUUAUACUAACCUUUGUAAGUAUUUACAAAAACACUAAAACAUAAACCAGAUAGAUUUUUCCAUUUCACAAAUAAAGUAAUAAAGGACCAAAAUGAUUUAUUUUAGGUCACACAAUCCAGGGAAGAGGACUUAAGAUCCAUGAUUUAGGAUAAAUUUUCAACAAUCUUCAUUUCUCUUACGUGCCAGUUUUAUCAGAGCACUAAAUCUGUCUGUACUUCCUGAAUCAUGCUGAUGAAAAACUUAAUAUUUUUCUGUUUUUCAAGUAUUAAAAUUUUAAUGUAGAAGUAAAACCAUAACGAGUGUAUUGGGUUGCAAAUUUCGGUGUGAAGAAUUGGACAACAUGCUAAAACUCAAACCUUGCUACCUUAUAAACAAGCUGACUCAAUAGGUAGGGAAUUUCUAUUUCCAAAUUUAUAAUGGAAAGAAGUAUUAAUAUUCAAGUGUUUAGUCUGUAGAGACCUUACUGAAUUUUUCUUCCCAGUUUACUCUUUAAUAGUUCUUCAGAGUCUUCUUGUAUAACAUAUUCUCACUCCUCUGGCCUCAAGUUUGAGUCCCAUGGUAGACCCCUCAUCAGUCUCCUGGGGCCAGUCAGAAUGUCUUCCCAGGUGUCACGGACAAAGAACGGAUUCAGUCCUCCAGUCCUCUCCAUUGACUGGUCGGUAGUAUAUGUAUUUCUGGGGCUAUGGAUGUGACCACAUGAAUUCCAGAGCAGCAGACACUGUGAGAGAAAUACAGAGAGGGAAGGGAAGGAGAGAAGGAGAUAAGGAGAGAGAGAAAGAGGUGUGUGAAGUAUCUGAAGUGUUUGAAGUAGAGCCUUGGAAGAAGAGAGAACCAGCCGGAGUCGUAUGGAUUUCUCCUUCCUAAUUCCAGAGCCCUGCUUGCCCUUGGGUUCGGGGAUGCAGCCCUGAGCCCAGUUCCAUUGUGCUUCAGAUUACCUUUCAGUCCAAAUGGAACAAUCAUUGAAAGCAAAGGCCUUCUCAGGCACAGCAUUGGACACCAGCUCUUUAACCCAUGCCAUGUGUCAUAGACACAGUGAAGCACUGGUACAAUCAUGUGGAGUUCAGAGUGGAAAUCACGUGGAGGAAAUGCGGUCUGGUGGUUAGAGUGGCAGACUCAAAAACGUCGGGAGCUUUGUUUCUGCUUUUGAUACCGCCACCAACUCUGGGGACUUGCCUGGUCCUUGGCUUUCUGCUGUCACCCCCAGAGCUCAAGAGAUCAGACAACUCUUCAGAUGAACAUAGCUUCUUAAACCCUGGGUUCUGAUAGUAGAGGCUGCCCUUACCGUGGAGAAGUCGUAUGCUGACGUAGAGGAAAAGGUUCAUUUCACAGUUGGCCUGCACUCCCUUGUCUGCAAAAUCGAGGUGAGUGUACAAAGUCAGGCUUGACGGGGCUAGUGGGAGUCAAAGGUUACCUGCAUUUUAUUUGGGGAUGUAGUUACCAGCUCCACACAGGAGAAAGCAAUACUGAGGAAGGAGGGGUGGUCUGACAGUUUUUUCUUGGCCUUUGGAUGAGGGCAACUGCUAUACUUCCUUCCCUUCUGCUUCCAUUUAUCUUCCAGAACUAUGAGGUGGUGGUACCCUUUAGUCCCAACUUCUCUGUGCUUCCCUUUAGGAUGUUCCCAUUGGCUCAAAAAAACAAUUGUGGGCAUUCCUAUUUACAGAUGACAUGAUUGUCUGUGGAGAGAAUCCUCCCCACACUGAAACAUUUGGGCAAACAUGAAACCAAAUGAGUUCAGAAUGUGUGCGCGGAAAGUCAACAAAUGGUGUGAAAAGAAAUAAAAGAAUGCUGCUCCCCGCUCCCUGCAAAAGGAAAUAAAUCAGAGAUGAUCUAGAUGAGUGGAGAGACACAGAGCCAUAGAAUUGAAAUUUUAAUAUAGUAAAGAUGUCUGUUCUAAAUUAAUCUAUAGCUUAUGGUAAUUCCUUUCAAAAUACCAGCAAAGUUUUGUCAUACACGUAGACAACCUAAUUUUAAAUUUUGUGGGGAGAGAUAUAAACCCUAGAAUAGCCAAAAUAAUCUUGAGGGGGGAAAAAAAAAAGAAUGAAGAGAGAGGAAUCAUUCUACCCCAAAUGAAGGCUUAUUGUAGAGGUAGAGUGUUAUUGUUUAGAUGUGAGGUGUCACCCCAAAACGCGUGUGUGAGGCAACUGCAAGAAAGCUGAGAGGUGAAAUGUCUGGGUUAUGAGUCUUAACCUACUAGAGUGUGUUAAUUCCCUGAUAAGGACUAACCGGCGGUAACCAUAGGCAGGCAGGGAGUGGCUGAAGGAGGUGGGUCCCCGGGGUCAAGCCUUUGGGGUACUUAUUUUGGCCUUGUUGAGAGGAGCUCUCUCUCUGCCUCUUGGUGAUCCUGUCUUGACCUGCUUUCCUCUUCCACACUCUUCUGCCAUGAUGAUCUCCCUCCCCUUCAGCUCUGAGGAAUGGAGCCAGCUAUCUACGGAUGGAGACCUAUGAAACUGACAUUUGUGAUUUUUUUUGGAUCCACUUGGAUAAUUCAGGAUACCCUCUUCCUCUCAAGAUCCUCAGUCACAUCUGCAAGAAACAGCAAGAUUAAGCUGGGAUGAGAGGAGGAACAAAGUGGGUUAUCAAAAGGCAACAUGAAGGAUGCUUGUAGUGAUGGAGCUGUUCUUCACCUUGACUAUGAUGGUGCAUAUGCAAAUCUACCUUUGGAUAAAAUUGCAUAGAUCCAGACACACACACACACACACACACACACACACACACACACACACAACAUAUAAA